RNAcentral lists this ribosomal RNA (497 nucleotides) under uncultured bacterium. Its description in RNAcentral is "partial 16S ribosomal RNA". It matches the Rfam family "Bacterial small subunit ribosomal RNA", at positions 28 to 507 of the family's 1533-position model. The record is from RNAcentral.
GAUGAACGCUGGCGGCGUGCCUAAUACAUGCAAGUCGAGCGAACGGACGAGAAGCUUGCUUCUCUGAUGUUAGCGGCGGACGGGUGAGUAACACGUGGAUAACCUACCUAUAAGACUGGGAUAACUUCGGGAAACCGUAGCUAAUACCGGAUAAUAUUUUGAACCGCAUGGUUCAAAAGUGAAAGACGGUCUUGCUGUCACUUAUAGAUGGAUCCGCGCUGCAUUAGCUAGUUGGUAAGGUAACGGCUUACCAAGGAAACGAUGCAUAGCCGACCUGAGAGGGUGAUCGGCCACACUGGAACUGAGACACGGUCCAGACUCCUACGGGAGGCAGCAGUAGGGAAUCUUCCGCAAUGGGCGAAAGCCUGACGGAGUAACGCCGCGUGAGUGAUGAAGGUCUUCGGAUCGUAAAACUCUGUUAUUAGGGAAGAACAUAUGUGUAAGUAACUGUGCACAUCUUGACGGUACCUAAUCAGAAAGCCACGGCUAACUACGUG